GUGAGGGAUAUUGGUCAAUGGGGGAAACCCUGAACCAGCAACGCCGCGUGAGGGAAGACGGUUUUCGGAUUGUAAACCUCUGUCCUCUGUGAAGAUAAUGACGGUAGCAGAGGAGGAAGCUCCGGCUAACUACGUGCCAGCAGCCGCGGUAAUACGUAGGGAGCAAGCGUUGUCCGGAUUUACUGGGUGUAAAGGGUGCGUAGGCGGCCCUGCAAGUCAGAAGUGAAAUCCAUGGGCUUAACCCGUGAACCGCUUUUGAAACUGUAGGGCUUGAGUGAAGUAGAGGCAGGCGGAAUUCCCGGUGUAGCGGUGAAAUGCGUAGAGAUCGGGAGGAACACCAGUGGCGAAGGCGGCCUGCUGGGCUUUAACUGACGCUGAAGCACGAAAGCGUGGGUAGCAAACAGGA
Molecule: ribosomal RNA, 406 nt
Filed under: uncultured bacterium
Lineage: Bacteria
Description: bacterial SSU rRNA
Rfam family: Bacterial small subunit ribosomal RNA
Source: RNAcentral